CCUACGGGAGGCAGCAGUGAGGAAUUUUCCGCAAUGGGCGAAAGCCUGACGGAGCAAUACCGCGUGAGGGAUGAAGGAUUUUGGUCUGUAAACCUCUUUUCUCAAGAAAGAAGUUCUGACGGUACUUGAGGAAUAAGCAUCGGCUAACUCCGUGCCAGCAGCCGCGGUAAUACGGGGGAUGCAAGCGUUAUCCGGAAUGAUUGGGCGUAAAGCGCCUGUAGGUUGUUUAUUAAGUCCGUUGUUAAAGCCUAGGGCUUAACCCUAGAAAAGCAAUGGAAACUAGUAGACUAGAGUAUGGCAGGGGUAGAGGGAAUUUCUAGUGUAGCGGUGAAAUGCGUAGAUAUUAGAAAGAACACCGGUGGCGAAAGCGCUCUACUGGACCAUUACUGACACUCAGAGGCGAAAGCUAGGGUAGCAAAAGGGAUUAGAUACCCUCGUAGUCCUAGCCGUAAACGAUGGAUACUAGAUGUUGUGCAUUAUGUACAGUAUCGUAGCUAACGCGUUAAGUAUCCCGCCUGGGGAGUACGCUCGCAAGGGUGAACUCAAGGAAUUGACGGCGUGNGAGUGUCGACGACGACGACGAGGGAGGUAGG
Molecule: ribosomal RNA, 593 nt
Filed under: uncultured bacterium
Lineage: Bacteria
Description: bacterial SSU rRNA
Rfam family: Bacterial small subunit ribosomal RNA
Source: RNAcentral